AGUGGCAGACGGGUGAGUAACACGUGGGAACGUACCCUUUGGUUCGGGACAACUCUGGGAAACUGGAGCUAAUACCGGAUACGCCCUUUUGGGGAAAGGUUUACUGCCGAAGGAUCGGCCCGCGUCUGAUUAGCUAGUUGGUGGGGUAACGGCCUACCUAGGCGACGAUCAGUAGCUGGUCUGAGAGGAUGAUCAGCCACACUGGGACUGAGACACGGCCCAGACUCCUACGGGAGGCAGCAGUGGGGAAUAUUGGACAAUGGGCGCAAGCCUGAUCCAGCCAUGCCGCGUGAGUGAUGAAGGCCUUAGGGUUGUAAAGCUCUUUUAUCCGGGACGAUAAUGACGGUACCGGAGGAAUAAGCCCCGGCUAACUUCGUGCCAGCAGCCGCGGUAAUACGAAGGGGGCUAGCGUUGCUCGGAAUCACUGGGCGUAAAGGGCGCGUAGGCGGCGUUUUAAGUCGGGGGUGAAAGCCUGUGGCUCAACCACAGAAUGGCCUUCGAUACUGGGACGCUUGAGUCUGGUAGAGGUUGGUGGAACUGCGAGUGUAGAGGUGAAAUUCGUAGAUAUUCGCAAGAACACCGGUGGCGAAGGCGGCCAACUGGACCGGCACUGACGCUGAGGCGCGAAAGCGUGGGGAGCAAACAGGACUAGAUACCCUGGUAGUCCAC
Molecule: ribosomal RNA, 669 nt
Filed under: uncultured bacterium
Lineage: Bacteria
Description: bacterial SSU rRNA
Rfam family: Bacterial small subunit ribosomal RNA
Source: RNAcentral